GUGCCAGCCGCCGCGGUAAUACGUAKGGUGCGAGCGUUAAUCGGAAUUACUGGGCGUAAAGCGUGCGCMSGCGGUUAUGUAAGACAGAUGUGAAAUCCCCGGGCUCAACCUGGGAACUGCAUUCGUGACUGCAUGGCUAGAGUACGGUAGAGGGGGAUGGAAUUCCGCGUGUAGCAGUGAAAUGCGUAGAUAUGCGGAGGAACACCGAUGGCGAAGGCAAUCCCCUGGACCUGUACUGACGCUCAUGCACGAAAGCGUGGGGAGCAAACAGGAUUUGAUACCCUGGUAGUCCACGCCCUAAACGAUGUCAACUGGUUGUUGGGAAUUAGUUUUCUCAGUAACGAAGCUAACGCGUGAAGUUGACCGCCUGGGGAGUACGGCCGCAAGGUUGAAACUCAAAGGAAUUGACGGGGGCCCGCACAAGCGGUGGAGUAUGUGGUUUUAAUUCGAUGCAACGCGAAGAACCUUACUUGGCCUUGACAUGUCGAGAACUUUCCCAGAGAUGGAUUGGUGCCUUCGGGAAACUCRAAMACAGGUGCUGCAUGGCUGUCGUCAGCUCGUGUCGUGAGAUG
Molecule: ribosomal RNA, 572 nt
Filed under: uncultured Delftia sp.
Lineage: Bacteria; Pseudomonadati; Pseudomonadota; Betaproteobacteria; Burkholderiales; Comamonadaceae
Description: bacterial SSU rRNA
Rfam family: Bacterial small subunit ribosomal RNA
Source: RNAcentral